CCCUGCACUCUGGGAUAAGCCUGGGAAACUGGGUCUAAUACUGGAUAUGACCUUUCUCCUUAUGGGGUUUGGUGGAAAGUUUUUCGGUGUAGGAUGAGCCCGCGGCCUAUCAGCUUGUUGGUGGGGUGAUGGCCUACCAAGGCGACGACGGGUAGCCGGCCUGAGAGGGUGAUCGGCCACAUUGGGACUGAGAUACGGCCCAG
Molecule: ribosomal RNA, 203 nt
Filed under: uncultured Actinomycetales bacterium
Lineage: Bacteria; Bacillati; Actinomycetota; Actinomycetes; Actinomycetales
Description: partial 16S ribosomal RNA
Rfam family: Bacterial small subunit ribosomal RNA
Source: RNAcentral